RNAcentral lists this long non-coding RNA (754 nucleotides) under Rhagoletis pomonella (apple maggot). Its description in RNAcentral is "uncharacterized LOC118749760". The record is from RNAcentral. Lineage: Eukaryota; Metazoa; Arthropoda; Insecta; Diptera; Tephritidae.
UAUACAAGUUUUGCAGUCAGUGCUGGCUAGCUACGCAAGUUCAAUGGCCUUAUAUAAAAAGAGAAAAGAAAAAAACUUCAUAAUUUUGCAACAUUUGCGAAGACAGCAGCUAUUGCUUUACGGGUUACUGCAGAGGAACGCUACUCAGAGAUCCCUCUGGAAAUUGAAUCGGCAGUCUUCUUUCUGGGAAGUUAAUUGCAAUUGCAACGAUGACCAUUUCUUUAAGAUGCACUUCCGCAUGAACCGCACUAGUUUCGAAACACUCUGUGUGGUUUCCUCAAAAACCUGCACAAAGCCGACACAAACUGGCGCAACGCGAUUCCAUUGCAAAAACGCGUUGCGAUAGCUCUGAUUACGCUGGGAUCGUCUGGGGAGUACAGAGUGGUUUCCGAACUAUUUGGUGUUGGAAUAUCGACCGUGUGCACAAUCUUCUGGGAGUUUUGCGAGGAAGUUUGGCAAGCUUUGUCAGCGCAAUACAUAAAAAAAUUACCACCGACUCCACAAACUUUAAAAGACUGUGUUGAUGGUUUUGACCGUCUCGGCUUUCCCCAAUGCCUUGGAGCAAUUGAUGGGUGCCACAUCGAAGUUAGGCCGAAUCCAGCCGAUGCAACCGACUACCACAACUAUAAAGGAUGGUAUUCUAUUGUUCUACUAGCUGUAGUGGAUUAUAGAUAUCGGUUUUUAUAUGUGAACAUUGGUGCUCCUGGACGAUGCAAUGAUCCGCAGAUAUAUAAUGCAUCGUUAUUGAAGCGAG